This 1286-nucleotide long non-coding RNA is filed under the name Homo sapiens (human). RNAcentral describes it as "HSALNT0322710". The record is from RNAcentral. Lineage: Eukaryota; Metazoa; Chordata; Mammalia; Primates; Hominidae.
CGACCUUCCCUCUUAUCUUCCUCUUGCAUUUAUCAGAAGUGCUGAACCCUUGACGUGCCUUAUCUUAUUUGCUCCUCACAACAAAUCUUAUGAGAUGCAUCACUACCAGAAGUUGUCCAGAAAGAACUGUGACCGUAUGUUUUAAUUAAAUAAUUUUUCAUCCAGUUUUUUUCUUUGCAUAUAAAGAAACAGAAUCCUGACAUCUGAUUGAAUUAUUGGCUCUCCUGAUGGUUGCACGAUGGCUGCAGCAGUUCCAGAUGUCCCAUCGAGACACAAAAAGAUCCCAGAUGGAAGAUGCCAUCUCCUCCUAUGUGCCUCUUUUUAAGAGUUACACAGGAGUGAGGAGGACCACCAAACCAAACUAAGACUCGGAGGAAAAAAAAAAAAGAAAAAGAAGAAAAUGUCUGCUAGGUGCCAUGCCACUCAAACAGCCAAUGGAAAGGCCCACGUGGCGAGAGCUAAGGCUUCCUGCCAACAGGCAAGUGAGGAAGCCCAGUCAGCUGCCUGCAGUCCUGACCCAUGAAGAGCCUGACUGAAAGUGAAUGAGCAACCCUGAGCUAGGACAACCCAGCAAGGCCCAUCCUGAAUUCCUGCCCACAAAAACUCUGAGACAGUAAAUGUUCGUUGUUUUAAACCACAAAGUUUUGAAGUAAUAGAUUAAUUAGGUAACCAAUUGGGACUGCAGUAUUCCUUCAGGGAACUUGAAUAGUCAUUCUGUAUAUGGAAAUUGUACACAUCUUAAAAUUGCUGGACUAAAGUGAGAAGAGACUGUCUUGAGUCAACUGGAUAAAGUGGAAAAAAAAUUAAUUUGGAAAUCAAUAGAAUUCUGGCCUUGGCUUUGUCACUAAGAAACACUUAUAAGUAAUUUCACUUCUCUUGAAAUUAUGAUCAUUAUCUAUAACAUAAAGGAACUGAGCUAAAUGUUAUCUGAUGCCUCUUUAGGCUCUCAAACUCCAUAGAUUUAUGACAUGCUUGAAAUUCACUUUGUUUCACCCUAAUUCAGAGCUUUGUUUCACUAGCUCUAGAAUUAGAUGCCUUGGGUUUAAAUUGCAAUUCAGUCACUUAUUUAAAUAAUUGUACUUGGAUGAGUGAUGUUGCCAUUUUAAGCCUCAGUUUCCCCAUAGAUUCAUUGAGAAGAUCAAAUAAGAUGAUGCAGAUAAAGCUCUUAGUUUGUGGGGACACUUAGUAAGUGCUUAAUAAAUACAGGCAGUUGUGUUAUCUAUGUUGUAGCAGCACAUUUUGUAAAAUAAAACAAAGUUGAAAUCACAGAUCUAUAUUUUUAUGUA